AUACGGAGGGUGCAAGCGUUAUCCGGAAUCAUUGGGUUUAAAGGGUCCGGAGGCGGGCUAAUAAGUCAGGGGUGAAAUCCCACAGCUUAACUGUGGAACUGCCCUUGAUACUGUUGGUCUUGAGUUACAGUGAAGUGGUUAGAAUGUGUAGUGUAGCGGUGAAAUGCAUAGAGAUUACACAGAAUACCGAUUGCGAAGGCAGAUCACUAACUGUAUACUGACGCUAAUGGACGAAAGCGUGGGGAGCGAACAGGAUUAGAAACCCUAGUAGUCC
RNAcentral lists this ribosomal RNA (274 nucleotides) under uncultured bacterium. RNAcentral's name for it is "partial 16S ribosomal RNA". It matches the Rfam family "Bacterial small subunit ribosomal RNA", at positions 523 to 796 of the family's 1533-position model. The record is from RNAcentral.